RNAcentral lists this long non-coding RNA (437 nucleotides) under Salmo salar (Atlantic salmon). RNAcentral's name for it is "lncRNA (ENSSSAG00000099140.1)". Lineage: Eukaryota; Metazoa; Chordata; Actinopteri; Salmoniformes; Salmonidae. The record is from RNAcentral.
CUAACCACACGUCCUUGCUCAUAGGUAACUAACCACACCACCACGCUCAUAGGUAACUAACCACACCACCACGCUCAUAGGUAACUAACCACACCACCACGUUCAUAGGUAACUAACCACACCACCACGUUCAUAGGUAACUAAACACACCACCACGUUCAUAGGUAACUAACCACACCACCACUACCUUGUUCAUAGGUAACUAACCACACCACCACGCUCAUAGGUAACUAACCACACCACCACGCUCAUAGGUAACUAACCACACCACCACGCUCAUAGGUAACUAACCACACCACCACAACCUUAUUCAAGGUAACUAACCACACCACCACCACCUUGUUCAUAGGUAACUAACCACACCACCACUACCUUGUUCAUAGGUAACUAACCACACCACCACUACCUUGUUCAUAGGUAACUAACCACACCACCAC